RNAcentral lists this ribosomal RNA (424 nucleotides) under uncultured bacterium. RNAcentral's name for it is "bacterial SSU rRNA". It matches the Rfam family "Bacterial small subunit ribosomal RNA", at positions 358 to 773 of the family's 1533-position model. The record is from RNAcentral.
GGAAUCUUGGGCAAUGGGCGAAAGCCUGACCCAGCGACGCCGCGUGAGGGAUGAAGGCCUUCGGGUCGUAAACCUCUUUCGGGAGGGAAGAACGGCCGCCAGGUGAACAAUCUUGCGUUCUGACGGUCCCUCCAAAGGAAGCGCCUGCUAACUCCGUGCACGCAGCCGCGGUAAUACGGAGGCCGCAAGCGUGGUUCGGAACCACUGGGCGUAAAGCGCGUGUAGGCGGCCGGGCAAGUCGGAUGUGAAAUCCCGGGGCUCAACCCCGGAACUGCAUUCGAAACUGCUCGGCUCGAGUCCCGGAGAGGGUGGCGGAAUUCCCGGUGUAGGGGUGAAAUCCGUAGAUAUCGGGAGGAACACCAGUGGCGAAGGCGGCCACCUGGACGGUGACUGACGCUGAGACGCGAAAGCGUGGGGAGCAAAC